AUGUGCGGGAAUCUGUCAUCUAUCUCUUCAAACUUCUGGUGGGGUGAAGCGAAUGGUCAAAAAAAGGCGCAUUGGAUCGCCUGGGAUAAGAUGUGCACGAGGAAACAUGAGGGGGGACUUGGCUUUCGCGAUCCUGAAGCGUUUAACCAAGCUAUGCUCGCCAAGCAAGCGUGGAGGAUACUUCAGGUACCGAACUCUUUGUGUGCAUGGGUCCUGAAGGCUCGGUAUUUUGUGGACGGGUCAAUCCUUAAUGCAACGUGUCCGGACGAAGGCUCUUUUACCUUCAGAAGCAUCAUCCAUGGCAGGAAC
Molecule: ribosomal RNA, 309 nt
Filed under: Triticum aestivum (bread wheat)
Lineage: Eukaryota; Viridiplantae; Streptophyta; Magnoliopsida; Poales; Poaceae
Description: partial small subunit ribosomal RNA
Source: RNAcentral